UACGAAGGGGGCUAGCGUUGCUCGGAAUCACUGGGCGUAAAGGGUGCGUAGGCGGGUCUUUAAGUCAGGGGUGAAAUCCUGGAGCUCAACUCCAGAACUGCCUUUGAUACUGAGGAGCUUGAGUCCGGGAGAGGUGAGUGGAACUGCGAGUGUAGAGGUGAAAUUCGUAGAUAUUCGCAAGAACACCAGUGGCGAAGGCGGCUCACUGGCCCGGUACUGACGCUGAGGUGCGAAAGCGUGGGGAGCAAACAGGG
Molecule: ribosomal RNA, 254 nt
Filed under: uncultured bacterium
Lineage: Bacteria
Description: partial 16S ribosomal RNA
Rfam family: Bacterial small subunit ribosomal RNA
Source: RNAcentral